Molecule: microRNA precursor, 90 nt
Filed under: Canis lupus familiaris (dog)
Lineage: Eukaryota; Metazoa; Chordata; Mammalia; Carnivora; Canidae
Also listed under: 1 other name
Description: mir-8799 microRNA precursor family
Rfam family: mir-8799 microRNA precursor family
Source: Rfam by way of RNAcentral
GGGGGGAGGCCGGAUCCUGGGCUGUGUCCCGGGCGCCCAGUGCUCCCGGGCCUGCGCUCUUGGAUUCGCCUCCCGGAGGCGCAGCCCCCU